UAAUACGUACCGUCCAAACGUUAUUCGGAAUCACUGGGCUUAAAGAGUUCGUAGGCGGCCCAGAAAGUUGGGUGUGAAAUCCCUCGGCUCAACCGAGGAAUUGCGCUCAAAACUACUGGGCUGGAGGGAGAUAGAGGUGAGCGGAACUGAUGGUGGAGCGGUGAAAUGCGUUGAUAUCAUCAGGAACACCGGAGGCGAAGGCGGCUCACUGGGUCUUUCCUGACGCUGAGGAACGAAAGCUAGGGGAGCGAACGGGAUUAGAUACCCCGGUAGUCCUAGCCAUAAACGAUGAGCACUAGACCGGAGAACCCUCCACAGUUUUUCGGUCGUAGCGAAAGUGUUAAGUGCUCCGCCUGGGGAGUAUGGUCGCAAGGCUG
This 377-nucleotide ribosomal RNA is filed under the name uncultured bacterium. RNAcentral describes it as "bacterial SSU rRNA". It matches the Rfam family "Bacterial small subunit ribosomal RNA", at positions 521 to 896 of the family's 1533-position model. The record is from RNAcentral.